This 63-nucleotide transfer RNA is filed under the name Anthribidae sp. 6 ACP-2013. RNAcentral's name for it is "tRNA-Glu". Lineage: Eukaryota; Metazoa; Arthropoda; Insecta; Coleoptera; Anthribidae. The record is from RNAcentral.
UAUUUAUAUAGUUUAACAAAAACAUUACAUUUUCACUGUAAAAAUAAACUAUCUUUUAUAAAU